GAUUUAGAAAAGUUGACAUCUUGUUGUAAUUUUUUUCGUGUUUCCCAAGGCUUUCUAAAUGAGGUAAUACCUAAAAUUAACCAAUAAAAAUCUGGAAGUAGAAG
This is a long non-coding RNA of Dipodomys spectabilis (banner-tailed kangaroo rat), 104 nucleotides long. RefSeq lists it as uncharacterized. The record is from RefSeq and is a predicted model, not a curated record. NCBI's taxonomy places the organism in Eukaryota, Metazoa, Chordata, Mammalia, Rodentia, Heteromyidae. The transcript has 4 exons.